GCGCCCGUAGCUCAACUGGAUAGAGCAUCUGACUUCGGAUCAGAAGGUUUGGGGUUCGAAUCCCUACGGGCGCACCA
This 77-nucleotide transfer RNA is filed under the name Candidatus Allofontibacter sp. RNAcentral's name for it is "tRNA-Arg". It matches the Rfam family "tRNA". Rfam says of the family: Transfer RNA (tRNA) molecules are approximately 80 nucleotides in length. Their secondary structure includes four short double-helical elements and three loops (D, anti-codon, and T loops). Further hydrogen bonds mediate the characteristic L-shaped molecular structure. tRNAs have two regions of fundamental functional importance: the anti-codon, which is responsible for specific mRNA codon recognition, and the 3' end, to which the tRNAs corresponding amino acid is attached (by aminoacyl-tRNA synthetases). tRNAs cope with the degeneracy of the genetic code in two manners: having more than one tRNA (with a specific anti-codon) for a particular amino acid; and 'wobble' base-pairing, i.e. permitting non-standard base-pairing at the 3rd anti-codon position. Lineage: Bacteria; Pseudomonadati; Pseudomonadota; Alphaproteobacteria; Candidatus Pelagibacterales; Candidatus Pelagibacteraceae. The record is from RNAcentral. RNAcentral also lists the same sequence under 2 other names.